UCAUGUAGCCAAGUGGCUGAAGGCGCCGGACUGCAACUCCGGAAUCGCAGGUUCGACUCCUGUCAUGA
This 68-nucleotide transfer RNA is filed under the name bovine gut metagenome. It matches the Rfam family "tRNA". Rfam says of the family: Transfer RNA (tRNA) molecules are approximately 80 nucleotides in length. Their secondary structure includes four short double-helical elements and three loops (D, anti-codon, and T loops). The record is from RNAcentral.